This is a non-coding RNA of Dipodomys ordii (Ord's kangaroo rat), 70 nucleotides long. The record is from Rfam. NCBI's taxonomy places the organism in Eukaryota, Metazoa, Chordata, Mammalia, Rodentia, Heteromyidae.
GGGAAGGUAGCUCAGUGGUAGAGUGCAUGGCUUGCAAGCAUGAGGCCCUGGGUUCGAUUCCUCAGCACCA